This is a long non-coding RNA of Scophthalmus maximus (turbot), 1527 nucleotides long. RefSeq lists it as uncharacterized. NCBI's taxonomy places the organism in Eukaryota, Metazoa, Chordata, Actinopteri, Pleuronectiformes, Scophthalmidae. The record is from RefSeq and is a predicted model, not a curated record. The transcript has 2 exons.
AGCGGCAGACGCGGCGGAGGAGCGGCGCUGCGUGCGGACGCGUCCCGCUGGUGCUCACAUGAAAAAAUGGGCUUGGCAUUUGCGCCGCAUCGUUCCCAUUCCUCACAUCUCCUCCAUCAUUGUCAUCAUCAUCAUCAUCUGCUCCCAGAAUAAUGUCAGAAUCAUGAAACCCCCGCGGAGAGCAACACAACAGCUCUCUCCCUCUCUUUAUGUUUUUCAUGGUGGAGAAUAAAGGAGCAUUGACAGAAACACUGGAGGCCUCAGAAAGAUCCAGAAGAACUGGACACAACGACACACACACACACACACACACACAGACGACACAAAGAAACGAUCACAUCGCGCUGCUGCUGCUGCUGUUGUUGUUGUUGUUGUUGUUCCGGCCGAGAUCCUCUAAUAAUGAGAUUAUAAAUAUUCCGAAGGGAUUAGUCUCGUUACGACAGCAUCCGAGCGGCUGGAGGAGGAGGGGAGAACAACCGGAGCUGCUCCUGGAGGAGGAGGAUGGAGACAUUUUUCAUCCUUUUUUUUUUUCUUUUUUUUUUGCAGAGACACUGCGAUGUUGGCGAGGAGGCGACGACGACAUGAUGAAGAUGAAGAUGGAGCCACAGUGGAUGAAAAAAAAAACACCCUGCUUCAGGAGAAGCUGCAGCGCGGAUCAAUCCGUGGAUAUUCCAUCUCCAUGAAGCCGCGCACCGAGGCCCGACCUCUCCCACCUCGACACAUUCACAUCCACACCAGACCGAAUACCGAUGGACCGCCGAGGACGCGCUGUGCGGCCGCUCGGGCUCCGGCUCGUGUCGGCGUCUCUUGCACCGAGCGGUCGGAUGUGGACGGAAUAAAGAAACGAAAAGAAAAGGGAGGACAUGUCGAGUCUUUUCUUACCUGAGUGCAGACGACGGCUCCUGCAGUUCACAGUCUGACCACACGAGGGUGAAGGAAGAAGGAUCCACAAUGAACUCCCUCGUCCCUGGUCCCUGGUCCCUGGUGCCAGGUCCCUGGUCCCUCGUCCCUGUUCCCAGGUCCCUGGGCCCUGGUCCCUCAUCCCUGGGCCCUGGUCCCUGGUGCCAGGUCCCUGGUCCCUCGUCCCUGUUCCCAGGUCCCUGGGCCCUGGUCCCUCAUCCCUGGGCCCUGGUCCUUCCACAGAACGAAUCCAAAUCUUCUUCUUCUGCAGCAGCAGCUGGUGAACUGGGCUCGUCUCCAAAAGCUCAAGACUAGAAGAGAGAGAGCGACACAAAGAGUCUCGUCUUGCCAACACAUCAGAACAAAUCUGACUUUUCAGUAAUUCCACUGCUGUUAUGUUUUUUUCCGCAGCUGAAUAGUUUGUCGACUCGGUGUCAGAGUUGGCACCCGGUCAGUGUGUGUGUGUGUGUGUGUGUGUGUGUGUGUGUGUGAUGGUGGGAGGCCACGGAGACACACAAGGGUUCACUGUUCGGUUCCUCCAGGCCUCAGAGACUGGACCACACUGAUCUGUGACUGUCGCCCCUCGCACAUUUCUGCAUGAAAUAAUAAAGUUACCACUUUUAAUAA